Molecule: ribosomal RNA, 495 nt
Filed under: Anaplasma phagocytophilum
Lineage: Bacteria; Pseudomonadati; Pseudomonadota; Alphaproteobacteria; Rickettsiales; Anaplasmataceae
Description: bacterial SSU rRNA
Rfam family: Bacterial small subunit ribosomal RNA
Source: RNAcentral
AACGGAUUAUUCUUUAUAGCUUGCUAUAAGGAAUAAUUAGUGGCAGACGGGUGAGUAAUGCAUAGGAAUCUACCUAGUAGUAUGGGAUAGCCACUAGAAAUGGUGGGUAAUACUGUAUAAUCCCUGCGGGGGAAAGAUUUAUCGCUAUUAGAUGAGCCUAUGUUAGAUUAGCUAGUUGGUAGGGUAAAGGCCUACCAAGGCGAUGAUCUAUAGCUGGUCUGAGAGGAUGAUCAGCCACACUGGAACUGAGAUACGGUCCAGACUCCUACGGGAGGCAGCAGUGGGGAAUAUUGGACAAUGGGCGCAAGCCUGAUCCAGCUAUGCCGCGUGAGUGAGGAAGGCCUUAGGGUUGUAAAACUCUUUCAGUAGGGAAGAUAAUGACGGUACCUACAGAAGAAGUCCCGGCAAACUCCGUGCCAGCAGCCGCGGUAAUACGGAGGGGGCAAGCGUUGUUCGGAAUUAUUGGGCGUAAAGGGCAUGUAGGCGGUUCGGUAA